Molecule: non-coding RNA, 121 nt
Organism: Picea glauca (white spruce)
Lineage: Eukaryota; Viridiplantae; Streptophyta; Pinopsida; Pinales; Pinaceae
Source: Rfam
GUACAUGCCUAUAACAUAUGAUUAAUACAUCAAAUCCCCUGAGAAAUCCACAGUUAAGUGCACUCGAGCUAUAUUAGUACUAGGAUGGGUGACCACCCAGGAAGUCCUAGUGUUUUACAUU